AUGUCGCUCCUUAGCCUCAACAACAGCAAGAUCACAUCAGCAGAGCAAAGCAGCAAGCCAGCAGUCAGUGCCCAGCAGCAAGCCAGCAAGCAUGCAGCAGCUCGCAGAAACGCCUCAGCAAGCAAGCACACAUCAACCAGCAAGCAAGUGCCCAGCGGCCAGCGAGCCAUUCAUUCCCGUGCUUGUUCAAUCAACCGAAUAGAGGCGGGCUUUUACUGUGCUGGCUGUGCUUCCAUGUCCCAUGUCCCUGACAUGUUGAUGGUGUCCCGGCGGCAUAUCAGCCUUUUGGUUCUUUCCUUUUUUGAUCGGAGAAGGGGAUACUCUGGGGAUAUGCGUAUUGCAUGUGUAUCAUGUUUUGUACGCGGACACGCCGACCUGGACGUAUCGGUGCUUUGUAGUCAUGUAGUGCCACCUAAGCAAAAAGAUAACGUGGCACUAUAA
Molecule: ribosomal RNA, 441 nt
Filed under: Triticum aestivum (bread wheat)
Lineage: Eukaryota; Viridiplantae; Streptophyta; Magnoliopsida; Poales; Poaceae
Description: partial small subunit ribosomal RNA
Source: RNAcentral